UGUAGGGAAUCUUCCGCAAUGGACGAAAGUCUGACGGAGCAACGCCGCGUGAGUGAUGAAGGUUUUCGGAUCGUAAAGCUCUGUUGUUAGGGAAGAACAAGUGCCGUUCAAAUAGGGCGGCACCUUGACGGUACCUAACCAGAAAGCCACGGCUAACUACGUGCCAGCAGCCGCGGUAAUACGUAGGUGGCAAGCGUUGUCCGGAAUUAUUGGGCGUAAAGGGCUCGCAGGCGGUUUCUUAAGUCUGAUGUGAAAGCCCCCGGCUCAACCGGGGAGGGUCAUUGGAAACUGGGGAACUUGAGUGCAGAAGAGGAGAGUGGAAUUCCACGUGUAGCGGUGAAAUGCGUANAGAUGUGGAGGAACACCUAUGGCGAAGGCGACUCUCUGGUCUGUAACUGACGCUGAGGAGCGAAAGCGUGGGGAGCGAACAGGAUUAGAUACCCUGGUAGUCCACGCCGUAAACGAUGAGUGCUAAGUGUUAGGGGGUUUCCGCCCCUUAGUGCUGCAGCUAACGCAUUAAGCACUCCGCCUGUGGAGUGCGGACGCAAGACUGAAACUCAAAGAAUUGACGGGGGCCCGCACAAGCGGUGGAGCAUGUGGUUUAAUUCGAAGCAACGCGAAGAACCUUACCAGGUCUUGACAUCCUCUGACAAUCCUAGAGAUAGGACGUCCCCUUCGGGGGCAGAGUGACAGGUGGUGCAUGGUUGUCGUCAGCUCGUGUCGUGAGAUGUUGGGUUAAGUCCCGCAACGAGCGCAACCCUUGAUCUUAGUUGCCAGCAUUCAGUUGGGCACUCUAAGGUGACUGCCGGUGACAAACCGGAGGAAGGUGGGGAUGACGUCAAAUCAUCAUGCCCCUUAUGACCUGGGCUACACACGUGCUACAAUGGACAGAACAAAGGGCAGCGAAACCGCGAGGUUAAGCCAAUCCCACAGUCUGUUCUCNGUUCGGAUCGCUGUCUGCAGGUNGACUGCGGAUGCNGAGGNGCUAGUGUCGCGGAUCAGCAUGCCGCGGGAAUACUA
RNAcentral lists this ribosomal RNA (1020 nucleotides) under Bacillus subtilis. RNAcentral's name for it is "bacterial SSU rRNA". It matches the Rfam family "Bacterial small subunit ribosomal RNA", at positions 353 to 1372 of the family's 1533-position model. Lineage: Bacteria; Bacillati; Bacillota; Bacilli; Caryophanales; Bacillaceae. The record is from RNAcentral.